Triticum aestivum (bread wheat) is the source of this 2399-nucleotide long non-coding RNA. RefSeq lists it as uncharacterized. The transcript is spliced from 6 exons. The record is from RefSeq and is a predicted model, not a curated record. NCBI's taxonomy places the organism in Eukaryota, Viridiplantae, Streptophyta, Magnoliopsida, Poales, Poaceae.
AUCUUCUUUUACCUAUCUGGCCAAGGCGCAUCCCCUUUCGCCUCGUUCUCCCAGCUAGGGUUGCGACUGCCGCCCCCACACGAGGCCCUGCCCCAUCCAUGAAUACAGAUCCACAGAGGUUGAUGGCAGGGCCCUAAGAUCGAUGGCACGGAGGAGGAUGCAUAGCGGUUCUAUCAUGCUGGGUUGAGUGCUAACCUAAGCUGAUCGGCCAAGGAGAUGGUUGUCUGCGACGUCUUCCUUAGGCAGGGAGGGUAGGGAAAGAUGAAGAGCGGAUGGGGAGGGAGACGGCGAGCCUAUGGAGAAGCGCCGCCAGGAGCAGAUAUGACUGUCUUCUGUAAGAAGCAACGCCCCUCCACCUCCGAGCGGUGAUCGAGGUUGGCAGCGCACUGCUCUAUUCCAAAUUGCAUACAUGUCUAAUUUGAUACUAUGUGUGUGUGCCUGUCUAAUUUGCUAUUCUGUAUGACUUGGUCCGUCAUGCGCAUUCCCACUACCCUUAGGAUGGCAUCCAAUCUUUAUUGUUGUUCAUUUAGGUUCUUCCAAUGUUUUACCUGCUUCUUCUUCCUCUACUUCAAACCAACCUUUCAUAGGUAUGAAUCAUUGUCUUGAAGCUCAUGCAUGUUCCCUCUUUUCUGCAGAAUAAACAAAUUCGUAAAAGGUAUACUAAUAAUAAAAAUCUAUACGGCAGACCAGACAUUAUGCUUCCAGUUCUCUGCAUCAUGCUACCUAGUGAGCAAUGAUAUUUACCUCCACCAAUUUGAUUGAUCCUAUGUGUUACUUCAGUUUAUCAGCUUCACUGUUCCUAAAGGCCUAAGCCGAAAUCACAUGUUAAUUCCCUAGGCAAUUUUUGUUCUCUUAAUACACCAUGGAAUUUUUUUGUCACCUAUCAUCGAACUCAGAGUACUUCACUUUAUAUAUUCAAUGCUUUUAGCUUGGUGUAUGAUUCUUUUGUAACUGGAUAAGAUUAGUGUCUACCUAUGCCUCUGUGUUUGUUUGAUAAUUUAUUGGGCAGAUUUCGAACUUGAAGAUACAAAGGAGGUGGCGUAGUGGGCAUGGAGAUCCUAGUGUUGAGUGUCUUGUUUGUCUAGCUACUUUCUGAACACAUGGUAACACUAACUAUUGGGGCUAAAUGAUACUGCUAUAUCGUUUUAUUGGCCUAAAUUUUAUUUAGUAAACAUGAAUGUUCCAUAUCCUAUUAAUACGUGUGCAUCUUGUCAGUUUGUUCCUAUUUGGGCUUAUUAUUAGUUAUUAUGUGAAAGUUAGUACUAAGUACUGCCCAUGAGAAAGCUCUUUCUAUUUAUGUGAUUCAGUUAACGAAUUCAGUUUUUCAUGGUUGAUGAAUACAGCAGGAGCCUGGGAUAUUUUAACCAUAGAGAUGGUGCAUAAUAAAUAAGCAAAAAAUAUAUCAGUGCUUUGUUGGAAUUCAAUUUGUUCGGCGGUCGACACGCCUCUCUUCAAGGCAAGGUCAGGUCUAGGGUGAGCUCAUCAUAUUUAUUUACUUAAUCUCAGGUACACUAACAUUCAUUUUUAUGUGAAUGAGGCCAGACAACAUUCGACCAAUGGUUUAUGUCUUUGAACUGGACCAUAACAUAAGUGAUUGACGAUUGGUUUAGUAUGCAUAGUUAUAUUCUUGGGUGCAUGUUAGAUCUAAUGAUUUGGAUCAUCUGUUGAUGCCACAGGAAAGCCUAGCUGAUGUGUUUGCAUUCAUUGAGUUCGCUGUUGAAGAGGGUGCUAGAGUUGCACUUAACCUUGGUGGCACAAUUCUUGGAUUCUACCAUUUUAGAGUCUUGCCUUCAAAGAAAACUAUCUUGCCUGUGAAUCCAAACUUUCUUCUGGUGAUAGAAGAUGAGAAGGAAAUGGUCGUAAGAACGGUUUAUUGUACAAAUAUAGACACGAAGGCUUACUAAUUUGGACAUAAGGAAGACGCCUUUUUGGAUGGCAUGGCAUUGAAUUCUCCCGUAAGAACUGCACUGGGUGAUGAGCGACGGUGGAUGAGAUGAGAAUAGGUGGCACGAGGUUGCAGCAGAGUCCGCAUCUGCUGGCUAUGCUCAUUGCUGUGGGAAAUGACAAUGAUAUCAUUGGGGAAGCAUCAGAAAGUACAACUUCUGCAACAUCUGUACCUACUAAAGAUUGUAUGAGUAUUGAUGUGCUUCUCCAAAUAGUACGUCGACACCAAGAAGGCAAAUAUUCUUUUCUAUAAAACAUGAACCUUUGAUUGAUUUGGGUUCAUUACUAAACUCUAUACAGCUUCCUCGUAUGCCUCCCACCUCCGAUAAGUCUCCUUUGGAUUCAGUUCUAUAUUAUUAUUUAUUUCCAAGUAUUUGUCACUCGAGUUUCUGAUAACCAUAAUGGGUGUCGGCUGCUACAAUGCGAACCAUAUCGAUUGGUGUAAUGUGGUGUUA